RNAcentral lists this ribosomal RNA (385 nucleotides) under uncultured bacterium. Its description in RNAcentral is "bacterial SSU rRNA". It matches the Rfam family "Bacterial small subunit ribosomal RNA", at positions 28 to 414 of the family's 1533-position model. The record is from RNAcentral.
GACGAACGCUGGCGGCGUGCUUAACACAUGCAAGUCGAGCGGUAAGGCCCUUUCGGGGGUACACGAGCGGCGAACGGGUGAGUAACACGUGGGUGACCUGCCCUCAGCUCUGGGAUAAGCCUGGGAAACCGGGUCUAAUACUGGAUAUGACUCCAUGACGCAUGUUGUGGGGUGGAAAGCCUUGUGCGGCUGAGGAUGGGCCCGCGGCCUAUCAGCUUGUUGGUGGGGUGANGGCCUACCAAGGCGACGACGGGUAGCCGGCCUGAGAGGGCGACCGGCCACACUGGGACUGAGACACGGCCCAGACUCCUACGGGAGGCAGCAGUGGGGAAUCUUGCGCAAUGGGCGAAAGCCUGACGCAGCGACGCCGCGUGUGUGAAGAAGG